This 2093-nucleotide small RNA is filed under the name Arabidopsis thaliana (thale cress). RNAcentral describes it as "putative long intergenic non-coding RNA". Lineage: Eukaryota; Viridiplantae; Streptophyta; Magnoliopsida; Brassicales; Brassicaceae. The record is from RNAcentral.
GGAGACUCUCAAAGGGUACUUUUCCCUUUAACUUUCUCUCUUUGUUUCUAAUUUUGUUUUUUAGUAGUUUUAAUUGUUCAGGGUUUGACUCAAACCGUUUGAGAGCUUGGUGUUUACUUGCAACCACAUUCUUGGAUUCUCUAACACAAGGUUGUAAGGCUGAAUAUCGUGUGAAUCAGAUAAGGAAUAACUAUUUUAACUUAUCUUGAAUCAAUAUACAAUUAUAUUAAUCGAAAUAAGCUAGAGAAAGGUUUAUUUGUCUGUGGUAUAAGCAGUGGCAUAAGUUGCUGGAAGAACUUGCACGAUAGAGUAAAACAAGAAUAUCAACUAGCCACGAACUCCUACUUCUUAAAGCACCGCAAUCCGUAGCUGUGAAAAAAUGUGAGAGAUCAAGUUCUAGAGAAAAACCAAAAGCUAAGCAAGAUUCAGAUUUGUGGAAGUAAAGCUUUUGCAUGAUAAUUCAAUAAAAUCAUAUUCAGAUCUAUCGCAAUGGAGCAUUAAAAUGGUCGUGCGUCAUAUUUGCCCAUUCGAGUCCAAAGUCAAGAUCUAUUUAGAGCAAUCAAAAUACACAUUUUGAAAAGAAGUCUUCUUUCAUCCUUGCACGGUGAAGAACAAAGACUCUGCUUCCCUUUCCAGAUACCAAGAACUCUCAUCAAAACUAGAGUACAAUUUUCCAUUGAAGUAGCAAGAGUAGAUCUAUGGAGGUGCUUUCCAGGAUUUUGAAGUAACGUGAAGCUGAAUAUUGAAAAUAUGCAAAGACAAAAAGGCUCGAGCGGGAAUCAGGGAGGUUCACUUCCAUUGACUUACAUCGACAGCAGAAGGCAGUAGUCAAGGUGCUCUCCUGAUUAGGUGGUGCUAGAGAAAACGAAGGAAAGCCUAGGUGCAUGGUGCAACAUAUGGUAAUUUGUUGGAUUGUUGCCCCCAAGACAUGAAAGUACUGAAACCAUUGGAAGGGCUUUGACUCUCGGUGUUAACAUCAAGAUGAUCACUGGCCAGAUAACCAGUUGUAAACUUGGAAUGGGAAUAAACAUGUAUCCAUCUUCGGCUUUUCUUGGUACGCACAAGUGGUAGGAACCAACAAACCCCAUGGAUGAAUAUGUCUCUCAAGUCUCAAUGGUUGUAAGUUUUGUCACGUAAGAGACAUGGAGAACAUACCUGGCAGAGAAUCAAGUGAAUUCCUCCAAAGAACUGAUCAGAUUAGAAAGAGCUAGUGUCUUGCGGCUGAAUAGGUAAACAUUCUUAGAAUAAAACUACUAGCAAAUUGGAAAUAUGUUAUACCCAUCUUUCUCAGAUUUUUUCAGAAUGGGAGAUAUGUAAAGGAAGGAACAAAUACUUUUGACAAACUAUUUAGGCCAUCGUCAAAGAUUUUGCAACAUACACAUCCAUUAAUUAGUAUUCAGUAGACAGUGGAAAGAAGUGUCUAAAGGAAACUUGAACCCAGAUGUCUGCAUAGAGGUAAAUCCACAUAAGAUCUCACACCCUCGGCCAAGUUCACAUCACACAUUAGAAUUAUAGAACCUUGACGUGUCUUUAUUCGGUGGAGCAUGGAAUUCUUCUCAUUGUAGAUCGCUGCUUGACAUUGUUUGACAAUCCACUGGUCGACUCUCUUCACACAACUUACAAUGAGCUCAAGCUUAAAAAUGGGUGUGUUCGGCAUUCUAAAUCAAUGUCACAAAGGAGACAAGCGGUAAGAACCACCAAACCCCAUUGACGAAGAUGGUCUCCUGGAAGAUUUGGCACGUAAGAGACGUAGAGAACAUACUUGUUGGAGCAUCAAAUGAUUUCCUCCAAAGAAAUUGAUUAGAUUGGGAAGACUAGUGUCUCGCGGCUGAAUAGGUAAGCAUGCUUGGAGCAUAACGGCUAGCGGCAAUGUCCAACUGCCAUUAGGAACAACCUGAAAAUCUACAUCGACCUCUUUGAUAGCGUGAUAUAGUCAUGUGUGCAUGCAUACAUUCAUAUGUGCAUACAUUCAUACAUCCAUACAUUCAUGCAUACAUUCAUACAUUCAUACAUUCAUACAUUCAUACAUCCAUACAUGCAUGCAUACAUUCAUACAUGCAUACAUUCAUACAUUCAUACAUCCAUACAUGCAU